UGCAAUGAAAGCAAGUGACGUGUCUUAUGACGACAAUUGUAGUUCCAAUCCUGUUUUCUUGCUUCCUCGUCCUUUUUUUCUGUAUUCCUGCAGAUCUGGCUACUCACGAUGCUUCAUCUGACCAAACGCAGUUGAGAUGAGAAAACUCUGUGCUCCAGAGGUGUUGCUCUGUAAGAAGCAAGAAUUUGUAGUCCACAAUCCUUUAAUUGUGCAUUACGCUCGUUCAGCCUCUCCGUUUGAAAAUGAAAUGAAAUGAUAUUCCUGUGUGAGCUGUUGGAGUAUAUGUGAUACAAACUCUUGUCUGCUGUCGGAGCUGAGUGACCUCCUCUGGAAUACCAUGCCGAGCAAAGACCUUUUUAACAGCUUUGACUGUGAUCUCUGCCGAUUUGAUAUUUAGACGGACAACCUCUAUAUGGAAAAGUAGUCCACAAUGAGCAGGUACAUUUUCUUCUUUCAUUCAAACAGAACCAUUCUGAACCUCUGCCAUGGAUGUGCCGGAAUUAAAGAAGCUUUUGAAUACAGUUUAAAAUGACUGGCUUCACACCAUGGCUUCCUCUCGAGCUUUACGCUGGGCCUCUUGUAUGGCCACUUUCUCCUCUUCACUGGCAACAUAUGACUCGGAUAUGAUUCGCUUGAACUCAGCGGAGGACAGAAUGAUAGACUGCCCCGACGGGUCUUCGCCUGGGAUUCUGGUUCAACAAAACAAGACAAUACUGUAUGAGGGUUUUUACACAUCUCUGUUCAGUAAAAAAAAUAUUUUUUUCUAAUUUGCGAACUACAGGCCUUCAACCUAGGAGAAGAAUAUGCAGAUGUCAUGGAAACUACUAUGAAGCUUGUGACCUACCUGAGAGCAUCAGCACCAUGUCAGCACCAUCUUCUGUAAGCAUUCCUGACUGAUGCAAAUGCUGCAUAUAAUGACACUCCUUUAUAACAAUGUGAGGUGGCUGAGCAAGGGAAGGGUCAUGGAGAGGUUUUGGGCCACCAGGAAAGAUUUGGAGAUGUUUUUAUCUCAACAGAAGAAUGUCAAAGCCAGGCAUUUCCUGGAUCUUCUGAGGUCGCUUUGGAUAAAAGCAUCUGCUAAAUGUCUACGUCAAUUUGUCUGCACAGCAAUGCAUGAAGUUGAACACACUUAUGAUUUCUGCAGCAGUAAAAACUGAGGAUCCAUAAUGCCAUUGAGAGAGUACAAAGCCACCUGAUUCUCCUGAGGCGCCUAGUUCACCUGAUUCUCCUGAGUCGCCUGGUUCACCUGAUUCUCCUGAGGCGCCUGGUUCACCUGAUUCUCCUGAGGCACCUGGUUCACCUGAUUCUCCUGAGGCGCCUAGUUCACCUGAUUCUCCUGAGUCGCCUGGUUCACCUGAUUCUCCUGAGGCGCCUGGUUCACCUGAUUCUCCUGAGGCGCCUGAUUCAC
Paramisgurnus dabryanus is the source of this 1408-nucleotide non-coding RNA. NCBI's taxonomy places the organism in Eukaryota, Metazoa, Chordata, Actinopteri, Cypriniformes, Cobitidae. The record is from RefSeq and is a predicted model, not a curated record.